This 480-nucleotide ribosomal RNA is filed under the name uncultured bacterium. Its description in RNAcentral is "partial 16S ribosomal RNA". It matches the Rfam family "Bacterial small subunit ribosomal RNA", at positions 29 to 507 of the family's 1533-position model. The record is from RNAcentral.
AUGAACGCUGGCGGCGUGCUUAACACAUGCAAGGCGAACGAAGCACUUUAUUUGAUUUCCUUCGGGACUGAUGAUUUUGUGACUGAGUGGCGGACGGGUGAGUAACGCGUGGGUAACCUGCCUUGUACAGGGGGAUAACAGUUGGAAACGGCUGCUAAUACCGCAUAAGCGCACGGCAUCGCAUGAUGCAGUGUGAAAAACUCCGGUGGUAUAAGAUGGACCCGCGUUGGAUUAGCUAGUUGGUGAGGUAACGGCCCACCAAGGCGACGAUCCAUAGCCGACCUGAGAGGGUGACCGGCCACAUUGGGACUGAGACACGGCCCAAACUCCUACGGGAGGCAGCAGUGGGGAAUAUUGCACAAUGGGCGAAAGCCUGAUGCAGCGACGCCGCGUGAGCGAAGAAGUAUUUCGGUAUGUAAAGCUCUAUCAGCAGGGAAGAUAAUGACGGUACCUGACUAAGAAGCACCGGCUAAAUACGUG